AUACCGAACCUCCUGGGCAUCUCUCUUUCGUCGUCGGUGUCCUCCGGCUCCGGCGGUUCAAAUAUAUCCAGGGCCUCCUCCGCGUCCCGGUGCUGCCGACCACGACGCCUGAGGUAAAGAGGUAUUCCUCGAGGGUCCUGCCCGGUGAAGACAGAUGUGGGCUUGUUUUCCAGCUGGGAGAUCUGUUGCUUCUCCACAAGAAGCCAGUCUUCCCUUAGCGACACAGCACUGUUGGAUGGUGCGUUCACCAACAGACUCGACGGCUUAACCCUUUGGUUGCUGGCGGAAGUUGGCGCAAUAUUGAACCACUCCCUCUAAUCCCACAGAGCGAUGGGUUGAUGAAGUGUGUGUUUGUGUGGGGAAAGGGAGAUAAAAAAAA
Labrus bergylta (ballan wrasse) is the source of this 379-nucleotide non-coding RNA. Lineage: Eukaryota; Metazoa; Chordata; Actinopteri; Labriformes; Labridae. The record is from RefSeq and is a predicted model, not a curated record.